Podarcis muralis (Common wall lizard) is the source of this 3635-nucleotide long non-coding RNA. RefSeq lists it as uncharacterized. NCBI's taxonomy places the organism in Eukaryota, Metazoa, Chordata, Lepidosauria, Squamata, Lacertidae. The record is from RefSeq and is a predicted model, not a curated record.
GGAGGAGGAGGCGGAGGCGGCUUCCCUCUCUCUCUCUCUCUCUCUCUCUCUCUCGGCGGCGCUUGGUGAAGGUUCUGCGCGCGAGCGAAGGCGAGGCUCCAACCUGGCCAGCCAGGCAGGCGGCUUACAUAACUGGACGGGAAAAGGGCGCGCCGAGGGGGGCCCAACACUGGGGGGGGGUCGUGCGUGCAUGACGUCACACACGCCCCCCCCCGCCGGGCAAGGCCUCCCUGCGAGGGGCGCCCCAGCGCCUGCCGCCCCCCCCCGGCCCCCUCAGUCUCGGAGGGCGCAGCGCCCCGUUUCGAAAUGCGGAGGGGGCUGGAGCCCCCUUCUGGCGCCCCUGCCGCUCACCUGGCAGGGUUGCUUUCAAGGAGAUACCUACAAAUUCACGUGCAUUUCGGAAGUACUGCGCAGGUAACCCUAACGGGAGAACCAGCCUUGGCAUUAGCUUUACCUAAACUCCAGCAUGGCUGCACCUCCCUCCUUCAAACAUCAAGACAAUAAUAUUGGCUUAUCUUUAAGAGGAUCCAUGAUGAUUCCCUGCCAACUCGUCUGGGUUGCCCUGUGGACAAACGUCGGCUCCCUCGGCCAGUAAAGCGAGAUGAGUGCUGCAAUCCCAGAGCCAUCCGUGACUGGACUUAACUGUCAGGAGUCCUUGACCUUGACCUUUAAAGGACCACCGCGGGGGGCAUUACUAUUGAAAGUGGGUGGGGAGGUUUAUGUAGCAUAAAGCUUCAAAACAAUCCCCUCACCCACUGAUUUGUAGGCACUUGUGGUCUAUCACACUUGUGGGAAUACAGGAAAAUAUACAAUCAGCACUUUGUAACAGUUGUGGGAUUUUGAUUUUUCACCACAACGUUAAGAACUAUGGCAUUAUUUUGAUCUUAUAGAUGGAGCUGCAAUUCCCCUCGAAGACCAUGUCUGCAGCUUGAAGUGCUCUUGAGCUUGUUGCUUGUAGCAGUGGCUCGGACCGCAUUCUAUCAUCUCAGGCUUGUACAUCCCCUGUGGCCACCAGCUGCUGCCCUAACUUGGGUGGCAUAACCUGACCUUGAUCACCUCUGCUCUGUUAUUUUCAACUGGAUUAUUGCAAUUUGAACUAACUGGGGCUGCUUCUAAAGAUGGCUAAGAACCUUCAGCUGUUGCAGCAGGUUGCAGACUGGACUGGAUAUGUGACACCAAUUUUGGGUCAAUUGCAUUGGCAUUUAUUAAUAUUUAAGACCUUAAAUGGUUUGGGACCAGGUUACCUAAAGGACAGCCUGCACAUGUCUGACUCUGCCCAUAAUCUAAGUUCUGCUUGGAUAACUCUCUGGAUAACACAGAAGAGUGUAUGAGACUUUGUACCAGCUACAACAGUUUAACAUCAAAGCACUAGAAACAUCUGUUGGGUAUAUAAAUUGAAACAGACUAGCUAAAACAAAAUUUAAUACCAUUCCAAAUAAUGAAAACGUAGAAUACAAAUCAGUGUUACCGUAAGCCCGGAUGUAUUGCUAUUAGAAUAUAUUCUAAGACACACAAAUUUCCAAGAGGAAAUUUAAAUAAAUUAUUAUUUAGAUAAUAGAUUUCUAAUAGGAAAUUAACCAUCAGAUUUGCUAAUUUAAGAAAAGUGGGAGCAUAAAUUUAAGGAUUUAAAAGAUAACAGAAGAAUGGUAACCGGAAUGAGAUAGCUCAAAUUGUGGAAGGAUGGUUACCACCAUGGUUUCAAUAUUUCCAGCAAAGGAGUAUUGCUUUUGGCAGCUAUAAGUCCUACAUGGAUGAUAAUGAAGAUGACAGCAUGAGCAUGGGAAGUGCUAAUAAAAAUAAUAAGUUGAAGGGUCUGCUAGCAAAAGAACCCCAACCCCCCUGUGGGCUGUUGGUGGAGUCAGUAGCCAGGUUAAGGUGGGGAGCGACAACUGGAUUUCACCAUCUAAGACUCAAGACAACCCUGGAUGUAGUGUUUUGUGAGAUAUCACCGAGUUGAUCAAUAUGUUAAGCUCAAUUUAAACUUUUGCUGUUGGUAUUUACGGUAAGUCCCAUCAGGCUGAAUGGAAUGUAUAAAGAUUCUAGGUUCGAAUGCUAGACGUGUUUUGCAAUAAACAUGCAUCUAACACAUAUCUGGUGUGAUUGCCAGUGUACCUCUGAAUUUUGGAGAUGAGUCUUGCAUCGCAUAAUGUGAGACUCUAUCCUAUGUUGAUUUUAUUUAAUUGGAUCAAUGAGAAGGUAUCUGCAGAAUCAGUAAAGAUUUUCUUGACUGCAGCAGUGGAAAGAUUCUCCAACCAUAUGGGAAUGGCUAAGGAAGUGUCUUGCAUGAGCAGAAAUGGACAAAUUGACCUAUUUGAUUUAUAAGAGGAAUGAUAUGUUCUAUAAUUCAAAUUUACAAAACAUAAUUUGGGCAUUUUUUAUAUAUUGCGAUGCUGAUUUUAGUAAUAUCAUAUUUAUUCGUGUAAAUUGUUAUUUCUGGGUAAAUCAUGAUUUUAUAAAUAAAGACAUAUUUGUUUUGAAAAAGAUCUGAUUCUUAGGUGGUAUUGGUUAUGCUGGUGAGCAUAUGGGACAGGGUCUUAACUCUUCCAGUUAAUGUUUGCUUGGCCCCUUCAGUUCUAGAAUUCAAUAAAACCUUAAACAUUUUUUGUUGUUGCCUUGCCUUUACAGAGCUUAGGUCAGUGAACAUGUGUAUUGCCACAGGUUCUUCAUCUCUGGCUUAGAGGCUUCUAGCAUUAGCAUAUUAUAAGCCACUGGAAACAGCGACUCCCUCCAGCUACCUCUGGCACAUGCCUUUUAUGCUAUGAAGCUUUGGUCUCUUUGAACUUCUUGUAACAUAGCCUGCAUUUUCAUUGCUGAAUUCUUCCCCUCUCUCAUUUGGAAGUUGCAUGUUCCUGUGGUCUGGUGACUAGAAGUACCACACGCAUGCUGUGACACACUGCUCAGAUUUAAGAGUGUGCAUGUCAAGCAAACCAUUUUCACUUGUUUCAAGUCCAUGUUUCAUAAUCAAAUUACUUUUGAACUUUCCACAAAUACAGAGACUCUUAGUGAGGUCUGCCUCGAGCAGUUUGCCAGGCCAAAAGAUUUUUCCAAGAACACUGAUUGACAGGAUGCUCCUCAGAUCCUGCUAUGAGUAGUCUGCUGCUAUGCCAAGAGUCACACCAAUCCUGAUUCCCAGUGCUCUCUUAGUAGUAAGGAAAACAUUCACUGCAGAACAAAGGCCACCAUUGCAGUACCAGCAGACUGCGCCACCACAUUUCUGGAAACUCCCAACACCACCCACUAAUAUAAUGUUGUUUACGGGGGCAUCAUAGUAGCCAUGUGCAGAAAACACCCAUCAAUAUAUACUAUGGUGGCCUAAUGGACCCAGGACUUUACCUAACCCAGUUCUCACAUGGCAUAUAACCAGGCAGCCAGGAAAGUAUCAGUGCUACUCUUUGCGCAAACUACCACAGUGCUGCAGGUAGGAGGCCUGCAUGAAGAACUCCAGUUUUGCAGGAGAAAAGUAUGAGACUCGCUGCCCAAACCACACAGUGCUGCCUUGCCCCACAACUGGGCAGAUGUUCCAUUUAUAUAAUCAUAGAAGUGUAGAGUUGGAAUGCGUUUCUGGUUCUUCGAAGAGGAAAGCAAUUUUUCUCCCCUGGAUUUUCCAUAUGAUAAGAGUUGCCAGAUCUCCAAGA